UACGUAGGGUGCGAGCGUUGUCCGGAAUUAUUGGGCGUAAAGAGCUUGUAGGCGGUUUGUCGCGUCUGCCGUGAAAAUUCGAGGCUCAACCUCGAACUUGCGGUGGGUACGGGCAGACUAGAGUGUGGUAGGGGAGACUGGAAUUCCCGGUGGUAGCGGUGAAAUGCGCAGAUAUCGGGAGAACACCGGUGGCGAAGGCG
Molecule: ribosomal RNA, 200 nt
Filed under: uncultured bacterium
Lineage: Bacteria
Description: partial 16S ribosomal RNA
Rfam family: Bacterial small subunit ribosomal RNA
Source: RNAcentral